This 377-nucleotide ribosomal RNA is filed under the name uncultured bacterium. Its description in RNAcentral is "bacterial SSU rRNA". It matches the Rfam family "Bacterial small subunit ribosomal RNA", at positions 29 to 407 of the family's 1533-position model. The record is from RNAcentral.
AUUGAACGCUGGCGGCAUGCCUUACACAUGCAAGUCGAACGGCAGCACGGGAGCAAUCCUGGUGGCGAGUGGCGAACGGGUGAGUAAUACAUCGGAACGUGCCCAGUAGUGGGGGAUAACCCGGCGAAAGCCGGACUAAUACCGCAUACGACCUACGGGUGAAAGCAGGGGAUCGCAAGACCUUGCGCUAUCGGAGCGGCCGAUGUCAGAUUAGCUUGUUGGCGGGGUAAAAGCCCACCAAGGCGACGAUCUGUAGCUGGUCUGAGAGGACGACCAGCCACACUGGGACUGAGACACGGCCCAGACUCCUACGGGAGGCAGCAGUGGGGAAUUUUGGACAAUGGGCGCAAGCCUGAUCCAGCCAUGCCGCGUGCGGG